UCCCUGCUGGCACCCCGCCUCCAGCACCACCUGCGAGCUCAGGGGCCGGCGGGCGGGCGCGGGGCUGGGGGCUGCUCUCCGCAUCGCCAGCACAAGCCGCCCGCGGCAGCCGCGUGAGGGAGCCCGGCUGGAUCUCCUGCUGCUGCCUGAGCCGCGGGGGAUGGAGGAAUAGAGGGUCUCCACCACCACCACGGCUAUGCCCCCCCGCACCUUUGCAGCCCCCGCACCCUCUGCAUAGGAGCCACCCCCGCCCCCAAGCUCAGGCGGGGAGCGGGAGCUGGGCGCGCAGCGCUGUCCAUUCAGCACCAAGCGCGGGCAGCCCCCGGGGAGCACCGCUUCAGCAGCGGGGCAAGGACGGGCAAAGCCGGCUCGCAGGUACCAGGCGCCUGGCGCUGCCGGUCGGACUGCUGCAGAAUGUGAGGUGAAUCCACAAGGAGCGAGCCGAGAGGGGGAAAUCCCCCGCCGCAGCCGUCGCUUUUGUCUCGAUUCAAGAUCUGAACCUGGAGAUUUUUUUUCGUUUGUUCCCCUUCUGCUGCUUCUACAUUUCGGUGGUUUUACCUUCGCCCCCAAAGAAUUGGGGUGGGGGGGGGGUUAAAAUCAGGAUCGCCGCGUGUGGAGCUCCCCAACGGCAGCUACCUCUGCUUCUGUCGGUCUCGCAAGGACUUAAAGUACAGCACGAGCGAGAGAGGGGGGGGGGUUUAAAAAAAAACAACCACCCAACCCUUCAUCAAUAGAUCUGGUCUGUGGCUGCGGCUGGGCGCUAGUAUCCGCCCCCUGCAUCCCCCGUUGUGUGUCUGUCUGUCUGCGAUCCCCUUAUACCCUCUCCCCCCGCACCCACCCUCCGUUUGUUUUUGCACCCAGCUGCCACCAUCAUCAGCCCCCGCCCCCUUCCCAGCUAAGAGGUUCCUUGAACAGAUGUGCACCACUGGAUUCUUUUCCGGCCACAUCUAACUAAGGAAAGAACCUCCCCCUGCCCCAUACCUAGGUACCUGGCAGACCUCUGCGACUGCUGUUCUUGGGGAGUGGGUGUCCUCUCCCCUCCAAACCCUGGCUUAAAAUAAAACAGUACAAGAGCUUUUAACUGCAAAGAGAAGGAGCCUUAGGACUGCCAGCAUUAACUUUCAGUGGUGCCCUUGGGGCUGCAGCAUUUGGAAGAACAGGCACGAGGGACUGACACCAGUUGGGUGCCCUUUGCCUAGGUGAUUCCUGACCAGCUGGAUAAAUUACCACUUUAGGUGUCGAUCGCUGUCAAGAAGCCGCCCCCUUAUGCGCUUGCUGUGUGCCGUGCUUCCUUGCAUGAGUCUGCGACAUGCCUAGUAAGAGACGAGAUGGGCCAGGGCGACGAGAGCGAUCGCAUCGUGAUCAACGUGGGAGGGACUAGGCACCAGACUUACCGCAGCACCCUGCGCACCCUGCCUGGCACUCGGCUGGCCUGGAUCGCUGAGCCCGAUGCCCACAGCCACUUUGACUAUGACCCACGCACAGACGAGUUCUUCUUCGACCGGCACCCGGGCGUCUUUGCCCACAUCCUGAACUACUACCGCACAGGCAAGCUGCACUGCCCGGCGGAUGUGUGCGGGCCUCUGUACGAGGAGGAGCUGGCCUUCUGGGGCAUUGACGAGACCGAUGUGGAGCCCUGCUGCUGGAUGACCUACCGCCAGCACCGGGACGCCGAGGAAGCGCUUGACAGUUUUGGUGGGGCACCGCUGGACAGCAGUGCUGACGACGGAGAUGCGGAUGGCACUGGAGACUCCGGGGAUGGCGAGGAAGAGCUGGAGAUGACUAAACGCCUGGCACUCAGCGACUCACCAGAUGGCAGGUCCGGGGGCUUUUGGAGAAGGUGGCAGCCCCGAAUCUGGGCACUUUUUGAGGACCCCUAUUCCUCCAGAUAUGCAAGGUACGUGGCAUUCGCCUCUCUCUUCUUCAUUCUGGUCUCCAUCACCACCUUCUGCCUCGAGACCCACGAGAGAUUUAACCCCAUCGUGAACAAAACAGAGACUGAAUUCACUGGCAACGACACCCAUGUGCGACACUACAGGGAAGCGGAGACCGAGGCCUUUCUGACCUAUAUCGAAGGGGUCUGUGUGGUCUGGUUUACAUUUGAGUUCCUGAUGAGAAUCACUUUCUGCCCAAACAAGGUGGAAUUUAUCAAAAACUCUUUGAACAUCAUUGACUUUGUGGCCAUUCUGCCUUUCUAUUUGGAGGUUGGACUCAGUGGCCUGUCUUCCAAAGCUGCUAAGGAUGUCCUGGGCUUCCUACGAGUAGUCCGGUUUGUGCGAAUUCUGCGAAUUUUCAAGCUGACCCGCCACUUUGUGGGGCUGCGGGUCCUGGGACAUACUCUCCGUGCCAGCACAAAUGAAUUCUUGCUGCUCAUCAUAUUCUUGGCAUUGGGCGUCUUAAUCUUUGCCACAAUGAUCUACUAUGCUGAGAGAAUAGGUGCUAAACCCAAUGAUCCUAGUGCCAGUGAACAUACACACUUUAAAAAUAUCCCCAUCGGCUUUUGGUGGGCUGUUGUCACCAUGACUACCCUGGGCUAUGGAGACAUGUAUCCUCAGACUUGGUCAGGCAUGCUGGUGGGGGCUCUCUGUGCUCUUGCAGGUGUGCUGACCAUUGCCAUGCCUGUCCCCGUCAUUGUGAACAAUUUCGGAAUGUAUUACUCCUUAGCUAUGGCUAAGCAGAAGCUACCAAAGAAAAAAAAGAAGCAUAUCCCGAGGCCACCCCAGCUGGGAUCCCCCAAUUAUUGUAAAUCUGUCGUAAACUCUCCACACCACAGUACUCAGAGCGACACAUGCCCACUGGCCCAAGAAGAAAUUUUAGAAAUUAACAGAGCAGGUAGGAAACCUCUUAGAGGAAUGUCCAUCUGACCUUUAACGUCCAUACCUUGUAGAGAUUUAAGAUUCAGUCAGACUGCUUUCUUAGAGCAAUGGGUAGCACAUUUAUCCAUUACAGUCCCACCACCACACACUGAAUAUCAUGUGUGAAGUCUAGGUUGCGGGGACAAAUGGCGCAGGGGAGGCUGCUCAGCAAAAUUAAGGAUGAGAUCAUACUCCAGGAGCCUUAACUUUGGUCCUGGUCAAGGGAAUACAUGGUUCAAGAUAUUUUUGAAGAGCAAUUACAUCUAGUGGAAGAAAAUUUUAGCAUUCUACAGCCAUGUUGCUGGACUCUAUAGUGCAUCAUGGAGGCACCUGAGAGCGGAAUGCUUCCUAGCAGUGCAGGAGCUGAGUACGCAGCUCUUACAGAGAUUUCUGACACAACGGGGUCAGAAUUUGAAAAAGCCAGAUGUUUUUUUAAUUUGUUUCCAGCUGUGACCCUUCAGCUGUUUUUAAAUGGCAGGUAUUGUGCAUCUGAUUAAAGAUCUAGGUGCCUACUAAAUUGGAGGGACGACUACACCAACAUGCAUAUUCACAAGGCAAUCCCAUCUCUUUCAGAUGAUUAACUGCAAAGUAGAAUGAUAGCUUCAAUUCUUGACACUAACACAAAAUGACUCACUAGGAGACAAUUAUAGAUGUAAGGAUGUUAACUCCAUAGCAUGCAAACCAACCCAUUCUAUAUUACACUAGAGCUUAGCAUUUAGAGUUAUGAAGAGUUUUGAACUACAGUAGCUAAAACAUAUUUGCUCCUCAUGAAAGCAUGGGUUGAUGAUCUACAGCUCUUUCAACUUUUUAGUAGUAAAGGUUGACUGGAAAAGGGAUAAUACUGGUCGUUUCUGGCAGAUUUGUACUAAACAGCAAUGAGUGAUAAUCUCACAACAGGGUAGUCUUAUUUUUUAAUUAUAUGGAUUCAUGUCAGCAAUAGAAGAAAACCCCAAUGAGAGUAACAUUAUAAUUUCAUACUAAUUACAUUUGGGGAGAAAUACUAGUCACCAUGGAAUAUAUUAUAAUAUCCCAUGGCUAGUGGUUAAUUAUGGGACUAUCUCAGUUUUAUGAGAAUCCUCACAUAUAGCAUAAAAUUACAGGGCUCCAACCUGAUGAUUCUACCCCAUAAGCUACUCUACCUGUGGAAUAUCAUCUAUUUAUUUACUGUAUGGAAACAGUAAAUUCAAAGCAGCUCACACUUAAAAUAUCACCAUAACCAUUUUGGUAGAGGUUCCAGCCCAGCUGUACAGUGUGCAUUCUUCAGCCUGUUACAAAAUACUUCCCUCAGCGUGUAUUGUGUUAGAUAAAACAGGUCACCAAUAGAGUGAUUCUGACUGAGCUUUAGUCACAAAGAGGCAUUUUGAAAGAACUAGCUUUCACCUAUGAUGGUCUUGUGUUCUUAUCAUUUUUUACUUUGAAGAAAAUUCUGGUUUGUCACUCCUCAUGGGUGAGAUAUUGUCUCUUCAUCUCAUUGCCAUGCAUGUUGAUGUCAUUGAAAGAAGCACAAAGGAAGUGAGACCUUCCUUUGUGUGUGAAUUUUAGGAUGCCAGUGCUAAUUUCUGAAAAGUGGGAGGAAGUGGACGGUGACUUUGGGUUUUUUGUUUUUGUUUUUUCCUUUUGUGCAACUAUGUAAAAUUAAUUUAGAUGGUAAAGAGCUUUCAUUUUUUUCUUUUCUGUUUUAAAACUCUCCCAUUGCAUUAGGUCGACUGCACUCCAUGUGAUAGACUGUCUCUUUACUGUUUUACCUUCAUGCACACAUACGGUUUUAUCUGUCCAUUCCCCUCAGGUUGCAAAUGCUUAUCACAAAGUCAUCUGCAGGCAAGGAAGUAACUUCCUCAUGAGUAGAUGCUUUGUGGCUCUAUAAAUCAGGAGGAAAAGAGGGCACUCACAAAAUGGUGGGUCACAACUGAAUGUCACUCCAGCUACCCAGUUGUUAUGUGGGCAGGGAGACACCAGACUCGGAGUGGUUUAGUGGAGAGCUAGAGAAUGACUUCUUACCCAGAAGUCCCUUGCUUUAAGUUCCUCCAAUAACAUAUCCUGGUCCUUGAACUUUUGAGGACUUGGGACCCAAGAACUCUGCGAGUUCAAUUCAACUCCACACCGGUAUCCUGAGAAUACGUGUAACUUUGGUUCAAUGUGGAACUGUUUUGUCACCAUGAGUGCUCUAAUGUCAGCUGUUGCUACAGUACCUAUGAAGUACUGAUAGUGACAGCAAAUUAUCCAUUUCUGCAAUAAUUGAUUAAAAGAGUACAUAUAUAUAUUUUCAGCAGCCCUAUAACACAUUUGUACUUCAACUGAUGGAGAUGGGCUCCAUAACCAUGUUACUGGAGUUUUGAUCCUGAUCACCACUAUGCACCACUGAUAGCAAAAUCAGAUCAGAUCAGAGGCGCACUGUUAAAAGCAAGCUCUGCACAGCCUUGUCUGCAAAUCAGAAAGACCAGUGCAUGAAUCCAUCUUUAGACUCCCUUUCUAGAGUAAUCAUGUACUCCUAGGUACUGUUCUGUGUGUGAAACUUAGCGAGAGUCUCAGCAUUCCGUGGAAAUCCAUAAUGUGCAAGUAAUGAAUGUUCUAUAUACUGUAAAACCUUUGGAUUAGUCACACUGCCUAGUUACAGACAACCGAUUAACUGUGAUUAACUAGGAACCCAAAAUGGAUUAUUUAGUGCUAAUGUCUCUAGCAAGAGAUCCACCCCAAUCCAUAUGUUUUCCCUUCAAUUUCUAUCUGUUAAACUCCAGUACAGUUUCAUAGAACUUUGUAGGAGAUACAAGACAAAUAACGUGUACCUCUAGCACAUUCUUUAACAUAUAGCCUGUUUAGUUGCUUAUGAUUGAGACAUCAAGUACAGUUAUGUAUGCUGUUUUUAUAGCAAUGUGAUAAAAACUCACAAGAUGGUGAAAUGGGGGAAAUGGUUCCACCUAUUACAGUAGCCGCCUACAGAACAGGGCCCUCUUAUUGGCAGAUUCAGAAGCAUGCGGUGGACCAAAUGCUGUACUCAGUCUUGUGCAUGCAACACACUGAAGUCAACAGACGUCUGAGGGCCAGAUGCUGAUAUCUUUACUCAGGCUGACCCUGCAAGCAGAAGUUAGCCCCUAGUCUAUGACUCUGAAUAGCUCCUUUAUGUGAUGACAUGGCUUUCUGGCCAUUCAUGGUCUGGGACUCCAUCGUUCACACAGGGGUGCUCUUAAGUGGAAAUUGGAACAGGUCAGAACAUUUCAAAAAUGUUAAGAAAAAUGAGAGGGAAAUUGUGAACAUGCCAUUAUUUCUCCUCCCAUUUUCUGCCCUGCUCUACUGGAAGUGCUACUGAUGUAGACAAGAGAUGAGCUAUGCAAUGGAGUCUCUCCUAGGAAAUGCCCAUGACAGAACAUUCCAGUGUUGGGUUAAUCAUUUACACAUAAAGGCAGUGAUUCUCCACGGGACCUGAGCUCACGGCUCCUUGAUUCUCAGCUGUCUGGCCCUGGCUUAAAUUAAAUCAUCGGGGCGGGGGGGGGGGGGGGGAGGAGCUUUAACUGAUGCCACUAAUGCAAGGUGGCUCUAAACCAGUGACAAACUGGUCGCAGCAGAGCCUUGCUCUGCCACACUUCCCCUCCUGGCAACAACUCACCAUGUCCCUGUCUCUCCAUUCCCUUAUGUUUGGCAGGGAGGGGGCAGCUUCUGGGGCAGGAGGUGUGAAGUCAUGGCAGCAGCUUGAAGCCAGCAGUGAUUCCCCCUGCACAGGGGGAAUUCUCCAGGGACAAUCUCUGGCCACUUUAAAUUCACUUUUUGCCACUUAUGUAGCAAAGGGAUCUGGGCAGAUUGGAGAAUUGGACCCAAAACGAUACAAAGGAGUAAAUUUCACCCAUGACUAGCAUGACUAUAAAACUACUUGAAACCCAGACUUGAUAUAUGCUAAAUACUAUAUGGGCCUAGUUGCCUAUGCCUUUAAAACAAGCAUAUGCCUUUCCAGGCCCUGACUCCACCAAAACAGAUUCUGUUGCUAUUUACUAUUUGUAUUGCCAUAUGACCUAGCAGCCACUGUCAAGGUCAGGGACCCAAUGAGAAAGAAAGAGAUAACCCUCUACCCCAAAGACUUACCGUCGAACUGAACAAGAAAGGCAAAGGGUGGGUAGAAGGAAGUAUUAUCUUCAUUUUACAAGUGGUGUUUGGGAGAACAUGAGAUUAAAGUGACUUAUCCAAGGCCAUGCAGGAAGUCUGUAGCAGAGCUGGAGACUGAGCUGGGAUGGCCUGGGUCCCAGAAGCAUGCCCCUAACAACAAAAAAGACAAUUAACAACAAAGAGUAAUAAUAAUAGUAGUAAUCCCUUGCACUUGUAUAUCAUCCAAGAGUCUCAAAAUGCUUUGACAGCAUUAGGUCUCCUAACUAGAGCUGCAUGACAAAUCAAGUGAACCCAAAUCUCAAAACAGAAUUCAACCUAAACUGUUCAGCUUUACCGGGAUUGUGCCCAAAGCCACAUGCUGCCCCACGACAACAUGAAACUCAGCCCAAGAUCACAAACAACUGCAAAACAGGCCCAAGUUUCAGGCUGGCGACAAAGCCUCAAAACAGGCAAAACAAAUCUCCAAACUACUUGGUGGGGGUUUCGUUAUGAAAAUUGCAUGUGACUCUCCUCGUCCUCACCCCUGUGUGGCUGCCCGAAGGAUGUGCUGGCUUUAUGGUUAUGUCCUACAGUAUCCAUAGGAAGAGCUGGAUGAUGCUGUUUGCCAAUCUAUAAUGGUGGGUCUGGAAUACUAAUGGAAUCCAUAGCUCCACUUGAUGUCUGUAACAUUGCCUGCAUUUUGGUGCCACGAAUCAGCUGCACUCAGACGGAAACAGAGUGUGAUCAGAGUUAAGCACCUAAAGAAAAGGAGAUGGGUGAUUUUUGUUCCCUGACCCGUGAAAGGAUCUACCCAAACCUUUUCUCUAUAUUUCUCUACACAUACACAUCAUUGGAAGGGAGACAUUGCAGGUGCUUUGACGCUCUCCGGAACCCUGAGAUAAGGAUUCCCUCCGCCGCUGAGUGCUCAGCACCCUGCCUCUUUUGAGCUAUGGUCUAGAUAGAGAGUAUCCCUGGGUGUACGUAUUGUGCAAUCGGGGUAACUUCCUUGCAGCACUGUAAACAAUGAAGGCUGAAUUCUCCACUCAGUGCAGAGCUUGGGAAACCAGGCUGCUGCUGGAGGAAUGUGGGGGAAAGGAUCGCAAGGGAAUCAAGGGCUGGAGAGGAGCAAAAUAAACCAAGAUUCCAGAGCUAGUUCAUCACCUUUACAUCUGCCGUAGCCUUUGCAGUUGUUAUGCUCUGUUGCUGAGAGGGAGAAUGACCAGUAGCCCUCCCCAAACUCUCCCACUCUCUGCAUGGGAUGGGACAAGACUUGACCCUAAGAAUUUUUUAUUUCAUUGUAACAUAUCGAGAGAGAGCUGAUCUCCAUUUUUAAAUAUGAUUUGGGGCCACCUUUGGGUUCAGAUUCAUUUUUAUCAAUGGAAACACUGUCUAGAAAAGUUGAUCUAGGCUUCAUUUCUUCUUCCGCUGCCACAAAUAAACCAAAUAACCUGCACUCAAAAAACAUACUGCCUCUGAUUUUCAGGAGUGCAGAGGUCCCACAACUCCAGCUGGAGUUAAUGGGAGUUGCAGGUACUCAGAGGUUCUGAAAAUCAGGUGUCUCGUCUACUAGUUGCAGUUUGUGAUCGUAAGCAGGUUUUAUGCAACCUACACUGCACAUUUUGAAGAUACGAGUACCAUGAAUUUGUGGCCGUAUACAUAUCCAUAAAUAUCAUGAUGGUCCAUUAAACCACAGGUUUGCAACAAAGGGAAUAGAACAUUCCACUCAAAAUACCACUCCAGAUAAAGAAGAAUCUCAAUUGACUGUAGCAGCGUUGCUGUUUCUAUCCUUGCUGUAGACUAGCCACCAGAUAAUACAUAACCACAAAGAACUGAGCAGUUCUCGUUCACCCCCCAGCAGAAGACAGUGAUGCUUAUAUACCCUAGAUCAGUGGUUUUCAACCCAUGAUCUGCAGACCCCUGGGGAUCCACAGACUAUGUCUAAGAUUUCCAAACGGGUCCACACAUCCAUUCAAAACUCUUUAGGGGUCUGCCAAUGAAAAAGGGUUGAAAACCACUGCCCUAGAUAAACUAUUAUAUUGGGCCUGAGUCACAAAAGGUAUAAGUGGGAGAAGAUUCCCUCCCCCCAGCUUCAUUUUUGAAUUGCAAAUGGCCUUUCUAGUCUUUAAAAUUCAAACGCCAUUUAAUAAUUCCUAAUCCCAAAUAUCAAAAUUUGAAUACUUAUAGAAAAACAGUGCAAUAACGAUCACCUUGGUGUCACCCAAGAUUGAACCCGGGAUCUCCAGCUACAGCAUAAGCUCCUACAGCUUGAGGUAAAAAGACUAAGUUCUCAUGUCCGGCACCUGUCAGGGUCUCAUGUGUCCUGUAGGUCAUGCACAGAGGGAGUUCUGUAAUAUCCCUGGAACAGUGGAUUCCAAUAGCACCUCCUAAACAUGUCACUGGGCAAUUAUCCACCUGUGGUCUGACUUCCUGUAGUAGCAAUAGAACUAUAGUUUUGUUCUAAUUCAGAAUUUUAAUUAAUAUAAAUAUCAUCAAUCCAUUAAAAUUUGAAAGACACUUAGGAAAUUGUGAAUGGAAUAUUGGUCUGCUAAGCCAUGGUUCAGGUCAGGGUGACAGUGGCUGAAAGUUUUUGCCAUCCAAUGGCUGUUAGGAGGCUUACAUGAAACAAGAUGGUUGUCUCAGUCCAGGCUGUAAUGGAGAAGGGGUGGCCAAAGCCCCAAACCACCGGGACCCUUCUUGGCAGUGCUAGCUGAGUGGUCAAGUAUUGAAUAGGAAUGGAAAUGGAACUACUCUCACCGCUAAAGUGGAGCCUGUAAAUCAGAUAGGAAAGAAAUAUGGGGAAAUCACUCUACCUUGCUUGUGCUGUACCUUUUCUACGGUUAAAGAGAGGAUUUCUGUUUUCAGAGUAGUCAGCUGGGCACUUUUCACAUAUACAACAUGUGAAACCAAAAAAUAGCUCCCCAUUAUCCCUUCGGUGGCUUCAGCCCUUGCUCUCUGGAAAUAAACUGGGUCAGAUCUUCAGCUGGUGUAACUUGAUAUAGCUUCUUUUGGAGCUACACCAGUCUACACCACUGGAAGGGGGGUGGGGAACACCCCACUGAGGUUGGCAAAUAAGUAUUAUAUCCUUUCAACAAAAGGGAAAACGGAGACACAGACACCUAAUUCUCAGGUCCAUUAAGCCCGCUUUGUGCCAGUCCUCCAGCACAAAGCAGCCUUAAACCAGGCAGAUCCAGCUCCUUAAGUAUUCCCUCACUCUAGGGGGAUCCUCCAAUGAUAUACGCCUGCACUAGCAGCUCCUACAUCAUUCAACUUCCAUCCUCCAGUGCAGGUGGUGUUACUGGGAGAAAAAGGGUUGAGCAUCCCUCCAUCUUGAAUGAUCCCCAGUGGCUGGAAUUGCCAUUCUGGGCCAUGGGAAGUCAGAUGUAAAAUAGAGCAACUUUUACAUCUGAGCACUGUUUGGCUGAAGCAGAUGAGCUAAAUGAUUUGCCCACUACCACAGAACGAAUUGGUAACAGAGAUGGGACUAGAACUCAGGCACCUCGUUCUGUGCUCAGCCCACUACACCAUGACCCUCUUACUUUAUACCUGAUUUAGACUCCAUCCAAGCUUUCUCUGUCUGUUACUUCUAAGAAAAUUUGCUUUUACAAAACAAGCACAGACCAGAAGUAACUGGUAGUUUACCCAUUUCUGCUCUCAUUGUUCUUUGCAUUCAUCCAUGCUCCAUACCCUACAGAUCAUCAUACUGUAUUCUUUAUUUUUGAAAUCUAAACUAGAUCCACAAUUUGGUGCUCUAAGAUCUUAAGGGAGACGAACUUUACCUAGCGAGAAACCAAUACCUGGCUCACCAGACUGAGCUGAUAUGCUGCACCAUGUCCUACCCAAGGAUCCACUGCAGUCUAUGGAAUCACUAGGAUUUUAAUUUGACUCACAAAAGUACAGGAUCAGUGUACAGAAUUGGUGGACCAUCUCUAGCAGGGACUGCGAUGUACCUCUUUGGAAGGCAGCGCUUCCAGGAGCAACACCUCUCACCAUUGUGUUAUACACCUUUCCAAUAGUAUCUUCAGAGCAAGAAGCACUUGAUCUAUUCAUGCUCCUGUACCUACUCCCUGCCUCCAAACCUAUCAACAGACAGGAAGCCAACAUGCUGUCGCCUCACUUCAGGAAGUAACGCCUCUUGAAGGUGAUAUUCUCUGACAGUGAUGUCACAAUGUUGGCCAAUCAGGGUUGUCUGAGGCGGUCAUCUUAUUCACUGGAGUACCUUUAUUGGGGACAACCUUACCUGGAGGGACCCAUUUCAACAUGGUGGUGAGUAAAUAUUCAGAGGUAGGUCGGGUUUGAGGAGCAUCUGGGAAUUUGUCUAUUAUUCCAAAUUUCUGCUGUAGAGGAGACAAAUUCUGCUCUCAGCUGUACCAACGUAAAGUCUGUUGGUGUGACAUCUACUCAAGAAUACUUCAGAAUAAGUUUAAAAUAUACAGUAAAAUAAUAUUCAGGUGUUUGUUAAAGAUAACUACAUCUGACUCUCUACAAAGCAUGAAAAUCUUGGGGUAGCUAAAAUGAAAUUGAGUUGCUGUGUAGGAACAAAUGAAUUCUUUUACAUGUUCUUCACAUUUUCUCUCUCUCUUUUCUCUCUCUCUCUCGUUCUGUUUGUUAACAUUUACUUGUUAUUAUUGUAUGUUGCUUGCAACUUGUGUAUGUUACAGACUGUCACAUUUUAUUCUGUGAAGUUUUUCUCCAAUCCCAUCAACCCGAGCUCCAUAUUGGGCAGCAGAGGAGAUUACAAUACUGUUCUUUAAAUACAAAACGACAAGGAAUGUCACAGACUAUAGGUAACUCCAUUGGGUUGUGACACAAGGUAUUAAUGCAAAGAGUAAGUACACGAUGCAAGAAAGCACGAUCUAGCUAAUGUGCUAUUUCUUUCAGAUAGUCUGCAUGGAAAACAAUUAAUUUUCAUUGCUCUCCAGCAGAAAAUGUCCCAAACAUACUGGCUUAGAGACCUGCUGUUUUAAAAAUCAGUGAUUCCCAUCUUAGCACAUCAUAGCUCAUUUUCAAAGACUCAAACCCACGCUCUCUGUGCUAACUUCCAUCCAUAUCCUCCACGCCAUAAUUUCAUCAUUUCAAUUGCUUGUGGCUUAUUAUAUCUUCCCCAUCAUUCUUUAGAUAAUCUCAUGUAGUUGUUAUAUCCCUUGUAUUUUAAGGGCCUGAUUUAGCAAUGACAAAAACAAACCUCUGCGCCUGUGAUCCAUGUUUCUGAACCCUACCCAGGGGUCUGGAGUCCAUAAAAAAUUCUUUCUGUAGCCUAGCAUGGUCUAGAGUGGAAGCCAAAUGGAUAUUUUGUUGAAUCAGGUCCUGGCAGAGGCUUUUGAUUGUCACCUGCAUGUUAUUUGUGGGGUCUGGGAGGGAAUGAUAAAAAGAGGCUGAGAGGUAUUUUUGUAUUUGUUUCCUAGAGAAACAGUAUUAGGUUUAUUGCUUCUAAUCUCGCUCUUAGUUGCAAGUGAGAUAUAUUUAAUUUCAAAUUGACAAUUGCCCAGACACUAAAGCAGCAAGGUUGUAUUUUUAUCAAUUCAUAAUCUAUUCCCAUAACUCCUUAUUCUAUGGCAUGCUCUGACCCUCUCGUCAACUGUGGGGAAACACAGAAGAGUUCACCGGCAGGAGGAAGGGGCAUUGCAAGACAGACAAUUCCACCAAUCAGAGAUUAAAAAUAGUGGGUUUCUCAGGUGCUCAGCAGCUCCCAGGAUUUGGUCCUACACUUUUACAGGUCUCUACAACCUCCUUUGGAACUCAGAUUGAUCAUCGUUACAUAAAAAAAGGGCCGUUUCUUAAUAGUUCAGCACAGGAAAUGAGGAGGAUGGGAGAUAAAGUUGACUACAAGUCACCAUUUACACUUUCCCUACUGUGGGGAUGCCUAAAGGUUUGCCUAGCCCCCACCAUAAGCUACAGCAACCUCAGGGCUGCUUGAAUUUGCAAUCAACUACCUAACUGACCAUGUGGCUGAGAAUAGCCAGAGCAUGGCAAUUCUCCAACCACAUCCCCUGGAACAGAUUUCCACAUUUGGGGCAGGAAGGAAUUUUCCCCAAGGUCAGAUUGGCAGAGACCUUGGUGGUUUUUCGUCUUCCUCUGCAGCAUGGGGCACAAGUCACUUGCAGGUUUAAACUAGUGUAAAUGGUGAAUUCUCUGUAACUUGAAGUCUUUAAACCAUCAUUUGGGGACUUCAGGAACACAGCCAGAGGUUCGGGAUCUAUUACGAGAGUGGGUGGGUGACUUUCUGUGGCCUGGGGUGUCCAGGAGAUCAGAUUAGAUGAUCACGAUGGUCCAUCCUGACCUUAGCGCCUAUGAGUCUAUUAUGGCCCAUUUACACUACCAGAAUGGUGUAAAGGGGAACCAUAAAGUAACCCAUAGAUGUUCAGUGUAAUGAGGCUAAAUGCUGAGCAGCUGUUUCCACAAUGGGGAUUAUAGGCAGUAUUCAUCUAAGAGACACUGUCUGUUGGGAGUGGAGCAAAGCGUCAGGCGCUGAAGAUAGGCGCGCUUGCCAGAACUGAGAUCCAAAAGAGCUUUAGUAAGUGUUUGAGUCCAUCCUUUGUGGGACCAUUCACAGGCUAUACCCACAUCUGUUUGGUGCCUCCCUUGAAGUCACGACUAUCAGAACCCUGCAGUGUUCUGGGCAAGUGGGGGUUCACCAGCUGAACCCUGCAGGUUUGGUUUGCAAGGGCUGGAAGGUUUGCUUGGAGGUUUCAGUUAGACUGGACACCCUCAGCAAGCAGAUCUUCAUCUUUCAAGUAACUAGUAUCCUCCCAGCACUAGCCCUUCCCUACAAUCAGCCAUUUUUUCCCUCUCCCCACCCUAUCCCUGCAUCCAGACCCAAGACCCCUUUUCUUACCUUGAGAUAGAGCAAUAUCUUGCUGCUUCCCCUUCUGGGGCCAAGAGGACCCCUCUGCUGCACCUCUGGGUCUUUGUGGGGUGCCAAGCAGCUGCUCCUUCAGCAGGGUUUGGUCUUUGGGGAGUAGACGUGAAUACAGUGGAUCACUGUCUCCUUCAAUCCUUGAACAAGGGCAGGAUAUGCUGCUUCCUCCUCCAGUAGUUAUGUGGGAGCUGAAGAAACAGCCCUACGUCUCCUGGUACCUAGCUCUCUAAUCUAGGGCUAAUGAGGCCCCAGACUCUUUAGCAUAAGAGCAAGGGAGCCCUGCUGAUGCUCAUGCCCUGGGAGAGACAACCCAUAAAUCUACCGUGCAGGAUUUCCUUGGAUAUCAUGCUAAGAAUUAUGGGAGCAUAUCUCAGCCCCAUUUCAGUUGAAGUGGCACAUUCUCAUUGCCCCACGGGUCAUGAAGGUGGCACCCCUUGCCUGGCAGGAAAUCCCGUAAGGGAUGGGGAAGGCAACAACCCACAGUGAGUGCCCUUUCAAUCUGCCCAACCCCAGAGACUCAGCUAUUAGGGAAAGUGGCCACUUCCCAGCUCUGAAGACAGGGUGAGUUAAAGGAGGGAGCCUCCCAAACCCCACAAAAAAACCCCACACCGCCUGAAGACAUUAAGAUAAGAAGGGUUCUUUCGGUUGUCAUUGGAUAGUUGGUGGGGGCGUGAAGAAGUCUGGCAAGAGGAAAAGAGGAUUUGGUUGGGCUUCCCAAAUGCAGGAACCACCUCUGCAUAUGUUUCCCAGCACUCAGAAGCACAGAGUGAGGCUCAUGGAUGCACUGAUACAUUGAGGUCUGUGAACAGCUGGGUCCAGGGUUCAGAUCAAGUAGGUUGGAGGCUCAAUGCAAAUGUUUCUCACAGCUCUAACUCAAGCACAAGCCAACAAUGGCAGUGAAGUCAAAGUGGCAGCCCUGGAACCUUUGUCUAUAGCUCAUGCCAUUGGGAAGGAGGAGAGCCCACAGACUGGGCAUGGCCAGUCUCCGUUAUAACCCUCUUCCUGCAUGCGCAGCACUCAAAGCACAGCAGUAGAGACACAACACACAUGGGAGAGGAGAUGUGUUUUGCCUGGACUGUCAGCCUUGCCUGUGAGUUUCCUGGCGGCUUUUAUUAGUUUGUACCAUUGUCUUUGUAUUUCGAAAUCUAAUUUUUGUCUGGAAAAGUCCUUGGCAUUUUAAUGGCAGUUUCCUAAAGGGGGUGAGGGGUGGGAUGAAGAAAUUUAAAACAAGGAUCCCAAUAAGAUAAAUGAUGCAAUAAACUACUUAUCUGGGAGAUCUGCUGGUGUUUCUCCCCAUAUCUAAGACAGCUGAAUAUGGAGGAUUUUUAAAAGCUUGUGUCAUUAAAUAAGCAUUUGAAGGCAGUUUAGUCCUAGGAAUGAGGCACUGAACUAGGAUUAUUCCCGAGACUCACCUGUUGUGUGACAUUGGGCAAGUCACUACACCUCUCUGUACCUUCGUUUCCUGUUGGGAGAAAUGGGGGUUGUCAUACUUGCUUUCCUUUGUAAAGCAAUUGGAGAUCUAGAGAAGAAACCUCUCUAUAGGCCUGAUCCAAAGCCCACUGAAGUCAAUAGAAAGACUCCCACUGAAUCUAGCAGGCUUCAGAUCAAGCCCUAGGAGAGCUAAACACUAUGAAUUAUACCAUGAUUCAGUGAAUAGUCCUAUCACAUCCAUUAUCUGAUGGAAAGAGCUUCUUUGGUGCUCUUGUAUUCCCAUAGUAAUACAGCAUUUUGUUAGAUAUCUUAAUCUGGGGGUAUAUCAUGCUACAGAUUUUUAGAAAGAACAAAAUCUAAGUGGCAUUCUAUGUAAAACAAUUUUUUUAUUGAGGUAAUGCUCUAGGAGCUCCCGUUGUAGACCGGAGGCCCAAUGUGCUAGGUUCUGUACAAAUGCAGAAUACCUUUUCGGUCCCUGCUCCAAAAACCUUACAAUCUAACAAGAGACAACAGGUAGAAUAUGAUUCCCUGGUAUUGCAUUCCUCCCUGAGACCAAGUAUCUUUCCUUGGAAAGGUCACUACAAUUUCCCUGGCUUCAGGUUUUAUUAUUAACAUGAAGCCCGAUUCUGCUCCCAUUGAAAUCCACAGGAGUUUUGCAAUUGACUUUACUGGGAACAAGAGCAGGACCAUAAAAACUGGCCCCACUUUGCCCAAAGGUUUACUAAUAUUUAGGAACUAUUUGAAAAAUCUUUGUCCUGUUUGGAGAGAAUUAGGGUGAUUUGAAAAUAUUGCCCCCAUGUCGCCCAUGUCAUGAAUUUGCCUUUAGGCGCAAAACAAGCACAUCUCCAGUUCCGUCAGCGGAGAUGAGCUACUAAGAUCAGGUCUUAAUCUGGCCCACCAAAGCAUACAGUGCAAAUUUCAGUUAACUGUGAAGCCUUUUUGCAUCCUUCACAUACAAAAAUAUUUUAAAAAAUCUUAAACGGAUGGAAAAAAUAAUUUGGUGCAGGUUGAUUUAUUUUAUGCCAAGUUUAGCCUAAUGCCCAUUUUUGGAACAAAUAUGUAUCCAAAAAUAUAAACCAGAAAUGAUGCUACAGGCAUCAAUUCCAUUGUCUUUAAGGGUGCAGGAUCAAGCCCUAAUUUGUUUAGUUGCCUUACAGUAAAAUCACAAUCCACUCUGUACCUUGAAAUUAACUGUGUAAUUAAAGUAAAUGCUGCAAGUGACAUCUGGGCCAAGUUUAGCUGUACACUUAAGCUCUGAUCGAACACUCACCAAAGUCAAUGGUAAGACUGCAGUUGACUUCAGUGGACUUUGGAUCAGCCACUUACUCCUCACUACUGAAAAUGUUUAGCAUGCACAGAACUCCCAGCGAAGACAAUGGGAGUUUUGAGUAUUAACUUGCGUAUGGAUUGGGCUGAAAUUUAAAUUUCUGCAUGUAAAUCCAUUACUGAUACUAUAGACUGUCUAAAAAAAUACGAUAAUUCAGUCCCCUAUUCACAGAAAUAGAAAUCUACUUCCCUCCACAGUCACUUCUGCCCAUGACGUCCCUUUCUCCCAAAUAUAGGCCAACUUGUCAUCUGUGAUUAGCACUGCAAUUUUAAUUACCACAGUGCAGAUCUCAAUGGCAUAGCCUACAUGUCUCGUGCAUAGCACAGCCAUUGACAUCAACACAAGUACUGUGGGUGGAACAGGUUUCAGGAUACACAGAGAUCUGUAGCUCAAAUUGCAGAAGAAUGAUUUGCCCACAGUUCCUUAUCUUUAGGAACUCCUGGAAUGGAAAGAAAACUCUAAAGCGGCGAUUAUUCAACAAUGUGCAUUUAAAAAUCAUUAAAUGCUCUGAGAUUAGCAACGGGGGAUACAGGGUCAGAGGCAGCCUGAAACCGGGUGGGUUGUAUGGGUGUCACUGAAGACAUUAUAGGUCCAAUCUCAUAUGUGAAAGUCUAUUACCUCUGAAAACUCUUGUAACAUUUGAGUAAAUUUAAUGCUAAUGAAAGCAAGAAAAUAAAUUGUAUCACAUAUACUGUGGGCAGUUUUUGUACAUGCUUCCUGGCAUAGCUUUGCCAUGCACCUCAAUCUUAGUUUUCAAUAACUCUUCCAUUGAGUUCUUGAGCAGAGCUUUAGUGAUGGUUUCAUGACAUGAACAACCAGGAAUGGGGGUGAUGCUCUCAAAUUCAUUUUCACUUGUAACCUGAGCUGGAGCCAAGCAUUAGGUUUCUGUAUGCUAUGGGAGUUGUGUCUUUCAGAUGAGAUGUAAUGCUGAGGUUGUGACCAUUUGUGCUCAUUGACAAUCUCGUAUUGGUUUUGGAAACAGUAGGAUGUUAACUCCAAUGUCUCAGCCAAAUGCUGAGUAAUUCUGCCUAAGUUCUCUCUGCAACUACAAUUGGAUGAGGCAUGCUUCACUUCCUGGCCUGAAGUACAAUGGCUGUGGUGUGUGCUGUUAAAUAGUGAUGUGUUACACCCAGGACGUAGCUGCAUUUUAGGGGUGGAUGUAGUGCUCCGUGGGUUUAGUUUGCAUUUCAGCUUGUACUUGCAGAGUGCUUUAGAGUGCUAUCUAAAUUAUUGCUUAUUAUUAGAUAUGAAUCAGAGCACACAGUUCUGAUCUGGAGAAGGAUCCAAACUUUCCUAAUGUUCAGAUACACAGUUUUGGUUCAGGACCAUCUCUAAUAAUUAAUAUAAUCUAAGACCCAGUGCAGCAAUGAGCUCCACACUGAAAACAGUGGGGCUCUAUGCAGGUAUAGGUGUCCCCGCUAUGCUUGACUCAUUGUAGCAUCAGGGCCUUAUCCUGUAGACGUGAAGACUAGUACACUAACCCACUGCAUUACCGAUCCCCUUAAGGAAUAGCAAAGUUCACAGUAUUUAUCAGUGUGAGUUUUAAAGUAGCAGCUCAGUAUCAUGUGAUGUCAUAGUUAUUAAGGUAAUUGUGUGGUUUUUGUGCAAAGUAAACAGGAGCAUGAAAUAGAUGUAUAUUAUUCACACACAGGAAUUGCAAUCAAUCAAUCUAUGCCCUGAAACUUCAGAAACCUGUUCAAAUUAGUCAUCAUUAGUCAUCAUCUUCAGAAAGUAUCUGUUGCUUCUAUUAGUGCGUCUGAUGUAUUAAUAAACGUAGCUGGUCAAAAAAAACAAACAAAAAACCCUACCAUCACCA
Molecule: RNA transcript, 18356 nt
Organism: Chelonia mydas (Green sea turtle)
Lineage: Eukaryota; Metazoa; Chordata; Testudines; Cheloniidae
Gene: KCNC1
Gene name: potassium voltage-gated channel subfamily C member 1
Exons: 3
Source: RefSeq, a predicted model, not a curated record